Molecule: long non-coding RNA, 542 nt
Organism: Photinus pyralis (common eastern firefly)
Lineage: Eukaryota; Metazoa; Arthropoda; Insecta; Coleoptera; Lampyridae
Exons: 3
Source: RefSeq, a predicted model, not a curated record
CGAAUCUAAAAUUGACGUAUUCUCGCGCUUUUUGCAAAUCAUUCCCUGCUCAAUUUAAAUUUUACCCAAGGCCCGUACACGUGUUACAUAGUGAAAUAAGUUUCAUAGAGAGGAAGAGAGGUGUAGACAACGGUGUAGAGUUUGGGGCAACAACCAUAUCCAAUUCAACACGUAUCACCAUUUCAAGGAAUAACAAAAUCCAUAACAGAUUUGGAUGCUGAAGACGCUGCAAACCCGAGUGCAAACCGCAUAAGGUUUAAAUUAGGGAACUGGCUACUGGGAGUGACAGAAUAGCGGCAGACUCAACCUUUGCGGAAUAUGAUACUGUUCGCUCUGGGUCGUCCAAUGGAAUACAUGGAGUUCUCGAUGGAUGAGAAACGUUAGCAUUGAAUUCAGACAACACAAAUUGAAAAAGGAAAUGCUUUGUAACCAAAACAAGAGGACACCGUGGAGAACUCGCAGAAAACCCAUUCCAAUGCAACCCUGUACCCCACACCUUAUUCAUGUCUAAAUUUUGAAUUGUGACCUAUCGCUGGUUAACC